AAAAAAAACCAUUUUCACGUUGAAAACAGAAGGGGAGAGAGAGAGAGAGAGCGCCUUAGCCUUGCCACCACCAAACUUCCGUCACCGGCGCCAAUUCUGGCCAAAUCUGGUGAUAAUUUUUACACCAGUCUCUUCCUCUCUUCAUGAGCUUUCUAUUGAUAUAUGUUUCAAGACCUAUCGUAAAGUGUGCGCGAUGAAUCGAAGGAGAGAAGAUUGAGUGAUUUUCCGGCUAUUUUUCAAAUUCCGACCAAACCGUCGACAUUUUGGAGAAACCCCAAGGUAAUCCAGUUGAGCAAAGCUUCCGAGGACAUUCCCGAGACGAGACUCUCCUAGUCACCCUUCAUUGUAGUAGAUUUUGCUGAGGUCGGACUGCACCACGUUGAGGCAUUCUCCUUAUCCACCAUCAUUCAUCUCAACUUGUAGGAUUUGUUCCCUUUCAUACUUUUAUAUUUCUUACUUAAUUAGACCAUGUAACUUAUGCUCUGAUGUAACCAUAAAUUGAGUAUUGGAUCCCUAAGUUGUAGUUGUUGGGUUAGAACCCUCGUAUUUGGUUGGUGGUGGAUGCUUUUGUGAAGGACAAGAGGUCCUAAUUGAAAGUUAUUGGAGAUUUAUGAUUU
Molecule: long non-coding RNA, 617 nt
Organism: Rosa chinensis
Lineage: Eukaryota; Viridiplantae; Streptophyta; Magnoliopsida; Rosales; Rosaceae
Exons: 3
Source: RefSeq, a predicted model, not a curated record